RNAcentral lists this ribosomal RNA (423 nucleotides) under uncultured Acinetobacter sp. Its description in RNAcentral is "bacterial SSU rRNA". It matches the Rfam family "Bacterial small subunit ribosomal RNA", at positions 355 to 769 of the family's 1533-position model. The record is from RNAcentral. Lineage: Bacteria; Pseudomonadati; Pseudomonadota; Gammaproteobacteria; Moraxellales; Moraxellaceae.
UGGGGAAUAUUGGACAAUGGGGGACCGGUAGCAUCCAGCCAUGCCGCGCUGUGUGAAGAAGGCCUUAUGGUUGUAAAGCACUUUAAGCGAGGAGGAGGCUCUCUUGGUUAAUACCCAAGAAGAGUGGACGUUACUCGCAGAAUAAGCACCGGCUAACUCUGUGCCAGCAGCCGCGGUAAUACAGAGGGUGCGAGCGUUAAUCGGAUUUACUGGGCGUAAGCGUGCGUUGGCGGCUUUUUUAAGUCGGAUGUGAAAUCCCCGAGCUUAACUUGGGAUUGCAUUCGAUACUGGGAAGCUAGAGUAUGGGAGAGGAUGGUAGAAUUCCAGGUGUAGCGGUGAAAUGCGUAGAGAUCUGGAGGAAUACCGAUGGCGAAGGCAGCCAUCUGGCCUAAUACUGACGCUGAGGUACGAAAGCAUGGGAGC